AGUGAAAAGUCAACCUGGCUCAAGAGAGGAUAUGAUUGGCACAUGGCCUCCAAUGUGGCCAAAUGUAGCCUGAUAAUCUAGAAGAGUUUGUCUGGGGUGCAGGUGCCUUGCAGUAACAGUCACAGAACAGAGAGAACAUGUCCUAGGUAGUGGCCAGUGCCAGAAUGAUGUAGGCACAAGGAGUAGAUCUGAACCCAACUGGCCUCCCAUCUGGGUGAACAGCAACCAACCCACAGGCCCAUGGACAAGAAAAAUCAAUGUUUUCUACUAUUUAUAACAUCACAGCUUUGCAGCCAAAAGAUGCAAGCUGCAAUGCAACAUGGGAAGAUGGCUGACAGUUCAAAUACAGUCACUGUAAUUCUACAGAGACCUUAUUAUUUAGUUCUCUAAUGAGGAUACCACGAAACAACCACCACUGCCACCACCACUAACACACACGCACAUGCAAAACCCAGAAAAUUCCAUUUGGAAAGAUUGCUGUGUUGUUCAUUUCUAAAACGAGGUCAGGUAUAAAAGGUUUGAGGUGGGAUUGCUUUUUUAAUUGAGAAUGGUUCCAUUAAAUUGUAGAAUUCUCCCAUGUGCCUUUGUCAGGGGGAGACUAAUGGCAUCAGGAGUUUGCCCCUAAACCCAGGAUACAACAGUCCACGAGUUAGUUAACUGAACAUUGGAACUUAUACGGACUCCAAAUGUAGUUUUUAAACACCUAGGAGAUCUCUAGUUACUAUAAGUGGUAUCACAACAGUUCCAAAUGUAUUUAAAUCCAUUUUAAUGUUUCUAGAAGGUGACAUAGCAAGGUGGUGUGCCUGUGUAUUUGGGAAGGAAAAGAAAGGGAAAGUCACUCAUAAACACAAGCUGUGUCUUGGAAUGUGGGCAGGUCUGAGGAAGGUCCAGAUUUUCUGAACUGGCACCCAAAGUGCAUGGCCCCCACCAGGGUGGUGUGGGACACCUGAGCUACCAACAUAUUUUCCCCUAUCCCUCAAAGCAGCUACAGCCCCAACCAUGAGACCAUCCUCAUCAGCUUACCUAGAUGGGAAGAUAGUAGGAUAGUAAAAUUUCCCUAAUUGGUGUUCAUCAGAUGAUCUGUUGUGAUGGUUAAUUUCAUGUGUGAACUUGACUGGCUACAGAGUGUCCAGACUAGACAUUAUUUUGGGGUGUGUCUGCAAGGGUGUUUCCAGAUGAGAUGAGCAUUUGAAUUAGCCAACUCAAUAAAAUCCGAUGUGAGUGGGCAUCAUCCUAUCUGUUAAGGGCCUGAACAGAACAAAAGGCAAGGAAGAAGGUACUCACUCCUCCUUUUGUGCUUGGACUGGGACCUACACCUCUUGCUCCCCAGUUCUCAGGCUUUGGGACUUAUACUAGAAUUACAUCACUGGCUUUCCUGAGUCUCCAGCUUAGGAUACAUUUCCUAUUGUGUCUGUUUUUCUGGAGAACGCUGCCUAAUACAAAUGCUAAUGAGUAUAACAUGUUCCAAGAUCAAAUUUGGUGAGUAAAUUUUGAGUUAAACAAAGCCCAAAAGCUCUACAGGGCUUAUCAUUUUAGGGCUUCUCAGAGCCUUCAAUACACUGUACACUGUAAGCCCCUGAAGGGAGAUAAUCUUACACAGCUUUUUCCAAUACAACCAUAGGUUUCUUUGUCUCUUUUUUGCUUCUGAAGACCAGAGUUCUCACUGAAACACCUGAGGGAAUGAGAAAAUAAAGAAAAAUCCCUGGAACUACAAGAUCUGGAAUACAGCCCCUAACACUAUUUCCCACCAUGUAUGUUCUUGAGCAAGUGACUUGGUGCUUGAAUCAACCCCUGUGUAAAAUGGCCCUCUGAGGAGGGUGAGUGGUGAACAAAAGUAGCUCCUCUGGAAAAGGGCUUCCUGAUAUCACAGUUGCCAUUCUUGGCUUUGGGGUCAGACCUACCUGAAUCAAAACCCAGUCAUGCUACAUUUCCAGGAAUGUGACUUUGGCAUUUACUUCAGCAUCUUGGGCCACAGUUUUCUCACCUGUAAACUGACUUAAAUGAAAAGAUUCUCUUGAGUGUCAAAAAAUAUUAGUUGCUAUCACACCUUCACCAGAGGGGCUGGAAUAGGAAUAGUAACCAAAAACUACUACUCAUUGGACAUGAGGUGAAUACUCAUCCCUCUGUACUGCCAGGACUCCAUGAUCCCUUCCCAAAAGUGACCCAGUUCCCUCCAGAGAGUCUCCUCUUCUACACUGUGUGUGGUCUUAGCAGGGUGGUUAUAUUGCAUAGACUCCUAUCCAUCACACAAGUUCAAAUAUAGAGCUCCUUCUUCCCUAUGCCCAUAUACUCUACUACAGAGGGAGCCACGUGACUUAAGCUUAGCCAGUGGCAUUUUCUCUGACAGGACUCAAGAUCUUAGGCAUCAUUAGGGUGGAAGUUCAGGUUAGAAGUCAGCCACGGUAGUGGCAACAGGAACAUUCUUAUGACCACAGAGGUGCCUGGCUUCCUACCUACUCCCAACCCUGAGUCUCUAGCAUUCAGUCAAUUUACUGAGCGCCCGCAAUCCAUCCAAUCAAUUAACUGAAUAAGUAUGAAACCUGUAUUCUUUUCCAUUGAUGUUCAUGUCAGCAGAGAUAUUGGUCUAGAACAAUUUAGGUUCAGUCCUUAACAGAAUCCCAGGAGGAAGGCAGGAAGGACAAGACUUAGUAAGUGAAUAAUAAACAAAUGUUUGCCUCAAAUGUGGUUUUUGUUGGGCCACUUUUAAAAACAGAAAUAUUCAGAAUGUAUUCUU
RNAcentral lists this long non-coding RNA (2734 nucleotides) under Canis lupus familiaris (dog). RNAcentral describes it as "lncRNA (ENSCAFG00040007264.1)". The record is from RNAcentral. Lineage: Eukaryota; Metazoa; Chordata; Mammalia; Carnivora; Canidae.